Bos taurus (domestic cattle) is the source of this 472-nucleotide long non-coding RNA. The record is from Ensembl. NCBI's taxonomy places the organism in Eukaryota, Metazoa, Chordata, Mammalia, Artiodactyla, Bovidae.
CUUUUUUUUCCUCAGAAGCCACCACCUGUAGGUUCUCUGAAGGGAGGCAACAGGUUGGUGCUAGAUGACGACCUUUGGGGGAAUAGAAGAGAGGCGUCAGCCAGACCGUGCCUGUGUGACGGGGCUCCUGGAUCUGAAGGCCGGGCUCCAGGGGUUGUGGUGCCCGCGCCAGCUCCUGGCACAGUGAACACGUUCCGCCUGACGGGAAGGCAGACGCGGGGAAGGAGAGUGUUGGGGAUACCAACGCAAACAAGACAAGGUGCCCGACCCCAAAACGCCGACGAGAUGAGCCACACAGGAGGAGCGCCUCUGCGUCUAUGGAGCCAGGAGAGACUGCGUUGAGAGGACAGCUGUCGGGAGAGCUCUAAAGACAGGGAGUGUGGACGCCACUGGUCCUUCGGUGUAAAGGAAGCGAAGUUUUUUGUGAUGUUUUAUGUAUUUAACUUAAAAUUAGACAAAAUCGGAUAAAAAA